GAGCCAAAUCAUGUAAUCCCUCCA
This 24-nucleotide non-coding RNA is filed under the name Arabidopsis thaliana (thale cress). The record is from RNAcentral. Lineage: Eukaryota; Viridiplantae; Streptophyta; Magnoliopsida; Brassicales; Brassicaceae.